CAGUCGCCGCGGGAAAACGGAGGGGGCUAGCGUUGUUCGGAAUUACUGGGCGUAAAGCGCACGUAGGCGGCUUGGUAAGUUAGAGGUGAAAGCCUGGAGCUCAACUCCAGAAUUGCCUUUAAGACUGCCGAGCUAGCAGGUGAGAGAGGUAAGUGGAAUUCCGAGUGUAGAGGUGAAAUUCGUAGAUAUUCGGAAGAACACCAGUGGCGAAGGCGACUCACUGGCCCAUUACUGACGCUGAGGCUCGAAAGCGUGGGGAGCAAACAGGAUUAGAUACCCGUGUAGUCCCUGUCUCUUAUAC
This 301-nucleotide ribosomal RNA is filed under the name uncultured bacterium. RNAcentral's name for it is "partial 16S ribosomal RNA". It matches the Rfam family "Bacterial small subunit ribosomal RNA", at positions 509 to 807 of the family's 1533-position model. The record is from RNAcentral.